RNAcentral lists this ribosomal RNA (1021 nucleotides) under marine metagenome. RNAcentral describes it as "bacterial LSU rRNA". It matches the Rfam family "Bacterial large subunit ribosomal RNA", at positions 1151 to 2288 of the family's 2925-position model. The record is from RNAcentral.
AAGAUGUUCUGUGCCGAAAAUGUAACGGGGAUUAAGCAAUAUACCGAAACUGCGGGUGCUAUUUAUAGCGCGGUAGCGGAGCGUUCCGUAAGUCUGUGAAGAAUAUUCGUGAGAAUAUUUGGAGAUAUCGGAAGUGAGAAUGUUGACAUGAGUAACGAUAAAGAGGGUGAGAAACCCUCUCGCCGAAAGUCCAAGGGUUCCUGCUUAAAGUUAAUCUGAGCAGGGUUAGCCGGCCCCUAACGCGAGGGCGAAAGCCGUAGUGGAUGGGAACGAGGUUAAUAUUCCUCGGCCAGUGGGUAGUGACGGAUUUAGUAAAUUGUAUCCUUUUAUUGGAUUAAGGAUGCUGUGAAUAAGUCCCAGGAAAUAGCUCCCACACUAAUGACCGUACCCCAAACCAACACAGGUGGACGGAUAGAAUAUAUUAAGGCGCUUGAGAGAACUAUGUUGAAGGAACUCGGCAAAAUACCUCCGUAACUUCGGGAGAAGGAGGCCCGGUCUUAAGGCAACUUUUGGUCGGGGGCACAAAAUUGGGGGUGGCGACUGUUUACUAAAAACACAGGACUCUGCGAAGCCGCAAGGCGACGUAUAGGGUCUGACGCCUGCCCGGUGCUGGAAGGUUAAGAGGAGGAGUGCAAGCUCUGAAUUGAAGCCCCAGUAAACGGCGGCCGUAACUAUAACGGUCCUAAGGUAGCGAAAUUCCUUGUCGGGUAAGUUCCGACCUGCACGAAUGGCGUAACGACUUCCCCGCUGUCUCCAACAUAGACUCAGUGAAAUUGAAUUUCCCGUGAAGAUGCGGGAUAACUGCGGUUAGACGGAAAGACCCCGUGCACCUUUACUACAGCUUUGCAGUGAUAUUAGUGAUGCUAUGUGUAGGAUAGGUGGGAGGCUUUGAAGCAUUAGCGCCAGUUAGUGUGGAGCCAUCCUUGAAAUACCACCCUUAUCCUUAUUGAUAUCUAACCGCGGUCCGUGAAACCGGAUCCGGGACCCUGCAUGGUGGGUAGUUUGACUGGGGCGGUCGCCU